This 763-nucleotide ribosomal RNA is filed under the name Stephanitis nashi. RNAcentral's name for it is "12S ribosomal RNA". The record is from RNAcentral. Lineage: Eukaryota; Metazoa; Arthropoda; Insecta; Hemiptera; Tingidae.
AGUAAUUGAUUUUGUUACUUUAUUUUUAGUUAAUUAAUAUUAAACAUGUAAUUAUUAAUAUCAAUUAAGUUUUUAUUAAAUAUAAAAAUAUUAAUAUAUUUUUCAGUUUUUAAUAUUAUACAUUUUAAUAUAAUAAAAUAUAGUGAUUAGUUUUUAAUAUUAACAAAUUUUAGUGCCAGCAGUUGCGGUUAUUCUAAUAAUAUAAUUUAAAAAUUGUAGGUUAGGUAUUAAAUUAAAUUUAAUUUAUUUUAAUGUAUAUAUAUUAAGUGAAAUUUUAUAUAUUUUAUAAAUAAUGGUAGAUUAUAUAUUAAAUUUAAUAUGAAACUAGGAUUAGAUACCCUAUUAUAUUUUUAUAAAUAUAAAACCUUAUUAGUAAUAGUUUAUAUCUUAAAAAUAAAAAAAUUUGGCGGUAAUUAAUAAUUGUUUAGAGGAACCUGUUUUUUAAUCGAUAAUCCACGAUUUAUUUUACCUUAUAUAUUUCUUAUAUACCGCUAUCAUAGAAUACUUUAAGAGAAAAAUUUCAAUGAUUAUUUUAAUAUUAAAUGUUAGGUCAAGGUUUAGUUUUAUAAGGUUAAAAUGGGUUACAUUAAUUUUAAUUUUGGAUUUUAAGUUUUGAUAUUUAAAUAAAAUUGGAUUUAAUUGUAAUAUUAAAAUUAAUAUUUUUUAUGAAAUUAUUAUGAUUAUGCACAUAUCGCCCGUCAUUCUCAUAAAUUGAGACAAGUCGUAACAAAGUAGGGGUAUUGGAAAAUGUUCCUGGAUUAUA